UUCAUUUUAGGAUCUACUGAUGUUCAAGGAUGUGUCCAUAGACUUCUCCCAGGAGGAGUGGGAUUGACUAGACUCUGCUCAGAGGACUUUGUACAGGGAGGUGAUGUUGGAGAACUACAGCAAUCUGGUGUCUGUAGGAGCCACGUGGAGCGGUUGGUGCAGAGCAGAUGUGGAACGGGACCAGGAGGGACUGGCGGGUUUAAGGAGGAGAGGGAAUUCCUAGAUCCUGAUCAGAG
Molecule: long non-coding RNA, 236 nt
Organism: Nannospalax galili (Upper Galilee mountains blind mole rat)
Lineage: Eukaryota; Metazoa; Chordata; Mammalia; Rodentia; Spalacidae
Exons: 3
Source: RefSeq, a predicted model, not a curated record